UGCCUAUUAGCGAGCCCCUCCAAUUAAACCCUACAAAGCUAACAUUAAUAAACCCAAGAACACUUGAAACUCAACUAACAAAGCAUUUUGACCCCUAACUAUGGUAGACAGAAAAGGGCUACAAGGGUGCAAUAGACGAAGUACUGUAAGGCAAAGCUGUAAGACAGAUGAAUCAGUCCAGGAAAGCGAUAAAACUCAGAGCGUACUCCUUGUACCUUUUGCAUGAUGAUUUCGCCAGCGAAUUCAAAAAGAGUACUUUCGUUUGUAAUCCCGCGACAUGUGUCGGCUUCUCCAAGACGCCCUAUUUAUUGGGCAAGUCCGUCUGAGUGGCAAAAGUGGGGAGCAGCUUCGAGUAGGGGUGGUAAGACCUAUCGAACUCAGUAAUAGCUGGUUGGCCGGGUAUUGGCUAAAAGUUCUGCCUCAUCGCUUCUCGCUUCAUACUAUAAUAACUACCCAAUGUUUAAAACAAACCGUGAGAGUUAGUCAAUGGGGGUGCAGCCCCAUUGAAUAAACAUACAACUAUUUUAGAAGGAUAAAGAGUAUAAUUUUUACAGAAGAAUGUGUCGGUGGGCGAAAAAGCAGUCAUCGCAACAGAACUCGUUGAAGCUCAGAGGCAAUACUCUCUCCCUCUAUCCUGCUACCACAUUCUUAAUCCCCUUACAUUACCGAGCCUCCCCAUGCACUCAUGGGGGCGACCCUGCUAAAAUGAGUAAUAAGAGAGCUACAGACUCUCUCCUAGCACAUGUGUAAAUCGGUGCGGACCCCCCACCGAACAAUAACGGCCCCAAAUCAAGAGGGUAUCGGACAAACGUUCAAAUACGAAACUAGAAAAUCGUCCCGACCAACACCGUUAACCCUACACUGGUGUGCUUACCAGGAAAGACUAAAAGAAAGAGAUGGAACUCGGCAAACAUUUGUCAAGCAUCGCCUGUUUACGUAAAACAUUGCCUCUUGCAAAACCAAAGAAUAAGAGGUCCCGCCUGCCCGGUGACUAUAUGUUUAACGGCCGCGGUAUUUUGACCGUGCGAAGGUAGCGUAAUCACUUGUCUUUUAAAUGGAGACCUGUAUGAAUGGCAUAACGAGGGCUUAACUGUCUCCUCUUUCCGGUCAAUGAAAUUGAUCUCCCCGUGCAGAAGCGGGGAUAAAAACAUAAGACGAGAAGACCCUAUGGAGCUUUAGACACCAAGACAGACCAUGUUAAGUACCCCUAAACAAAGACCCGAACUUAGUGGCAUCCUGUCCCAAUGUCUUCGGUUGGGGCGACCAUGGGGUAGCACAAAACCCCCAUGCGGAAUGGGAGAACAAGCCCAACACUCUUUUCCCAUACUCCCACAGACAAGAGCUACAUCUCUAAUCAACCAGAAUCUCUGACCUUUCAUGAUCCGGCCUUAGCCGAUCAACGAACAGUUACCCUAGGGAUAACAGCGCAAUCCCCUUUUUGAGCCCAUAUCGACAAGGGGGUUUACGACGUCGAUGUUGGAUCAGGACAUCCUAAUGGUGCAGCCGCUAUUAAGGGUUCGUUUGUUCAACGAUUAAAGUCCUACGUGAUCUGAGUUCAGACCGGAGUAAUCCAGGUCAGUUUCUAUCUAUGAAGUUAAUCUUUUCUAGUACGAAAGGACCGAAAAGAAGAGGCCUAUACCCCAGGCACGCCUCUCCCUUACCUAAUGAAAUCAUCUAAACUAGGCAAGAGGGUACAUUCCCCCAUGCCUAAGAGAAUGGCAU
This 1722-nucleotide ribosomal RNA is filed under the name Selaroides leptolepis (yellowstripe scad). RNAcentral's name for it is "16S ribosomal RNA". It matches the Rfam family "Bacterial large subunit ribosomal RNA". The record is from RNAcentral. Lineage: Eukaryota; Metazoa; Chordata; Actinopteri; Carangiformes; Carangidae.